This 494-nucleotide ribosomal RNA is filed under the name uncultured bacterium. RNAcentral's name for it is "partial 16S ribosomal RNA". It matches the Rfam family "Bacterial small subunit ribosomal RNA", at positions 28 to 507 of the family's 1533-position model. The record is from RNAcentral.
GACGAACGCUGGCGGCGUGCUUAACACAUGCAAGUCGAACGGUGAAGCGCCUUCCUUUUUGGUGGGUGUGGAUGAGUGGCGAACGGGUGAGUAACACGUGAGUAACCUGCCCCCUUCUUCUGGAUAACCGCAUGAAAGUGUGGCUAAUACGGGAUAUUCUGGGUCUGUCGCAUGAUGGGUCUGGGAAAGAUAUUGUUUCGGUGGGGGAUGGGCUCGCGGCCUAUCAGCUUGUUGGUGGGGUGAUGGCCUACCAAGGCGGGGACGGGUAGCCGGCCUGAGAGGGUGGACGGUCACACUGGGACUGAGACACGGCCCAGACUCCUACGGGAGGCAGCAGUGGGGAAUAUUGCACAAUGGGCGCAAGCCUGAUGCAGCGACGCCGCGUGAGGGAUGGAGGCCUUCGGGUUGUGAACCUCUUUCGCCAGUGAAGCAGGCCUGCCUCGUUUGUGGGUGGGUUGACGGUAGCUGGAUAAGAAGCGCCGGCUAACUACGCG